Molecule: unclassified non-coding RNA, 200 nt
Filed under: Myrmecridium sp.
Lineage: Eukaryota; Fungi; Ascomycota; Sordariomycetes; Myrmecridiales; Myrmecridiaceae
Description: partial internal transcribed spacer 2
Source: RNAcentral
UUAAGUUCAGCGGGUAUUCCUACCUGAUCCGAGGUCAACCUUGUAAAAAUGGGGUGCGAGGCAAGCCCACGCAGGACGCCCGAAGCGAGAAGAAACUACUGCGCUCGGAGACCUAGCGUGUCCGCCACUGUAUUUAAGGGACUGCAGACGCAGAGCCCCAACACCAAGCCAGGCUUGAGGGUUGAAAUGACGCUCGAACA